GACGAACGCUGGCGGCGUGCUUAACACAUGCAAGUCGUACGGUAAGGCCCUUUCGGGGGUACACGAGUGGCGAACGGGUGAGUAACACGUGAGUAACCUGCCCACAACUUUGGGAUAACGCUAGGAAACUGGUGCUAAUACUGGAUAUGUGCUCCUGCUGCAUGGUGGGGGUUGGAAAGCUCCGGCGGUUGUGGAUGGAAUCGCGGCCUAUCAGCUUGUUGGUGGGGUAGUGGCCUACCAAGGCGGCGACGGGUAGCCGGCCUGAGAGGGUGACCGGCCACAUUGGGACUGAGAUACGGCCCAGGCUCCUACGGGAGGCAGCAGUGGGGAAGAUUGCACAAUGGGCGCAAGCCUGAUGCAGCAGCGCCUCGUGCGGGAUGACGGCCUUCGGGUUGUAAACCGCUUUCAGCAGGGACGAAGCUUUUUGUGACGGUACCUGCAGAAGAAGCACCGGCUAACUACGUG
RNAcentral lists this ribosomal RNA (465 nucleotides) under uncultured bacterium. RNAcentral describes it as "partial 16S ribosomal RNA". It matches the Rfam family "Bacterial small subunit ribosomal RNA", at positions 28 to 507 of the family's 1533-position model. The record is from RNAcentral.